This 466-nucleotide ribosomal RNA is filed under the name uncultured bacterium. Its description in RNAcentral is "partial 16S ribosomal RNA". It matches the Rfam family "Bacterial small subunit ribosomal RNA", at positions 29 to 507 of the family's 1533-position model. The record is from RNAcentral.
AUGAACGCUGCCAGAAUGCUUAACACAUGCCAGUCAACUUGAAUUUGGGUUUUUAACUUAGGUUUGGGUGGCGGACGGGUGAGUAACGCGUAAAGAACUUGCCUCACAGCUAGGGACAACAUUUGGAAACGAAUGCUAAUACCUAAUAUUAUGAUAAUAGGGCAUCCUAUAAUUAUGAAAGCUAUAAGCGCUGUGAGAGAGCUUUGCGUCCCAUUAGCUAGUUGGAGAGGUAACGGCUCACCAAGGCGAUGAUGGGUAGCCGGCCUGAGAGGGUGAUCGGCCACAAGGGGACUGAGACACGGCCCUUACUCCUACGGGAGGCAGCAGUGGGGAAUAUUGGACAAUGGACCGAGAGUCUGAUCCAGCAAUUCUGUGUGCACGAUGAAGUUUUUCGGAAUGUAAAGUGCUUUCAGUUGGGAAGAAACAAAUGACGGUACCAACAGAAGAAGUGACGGCUAAAUACGUG